GACAUGUGCCACAAUGGGUCAGUGCAUCUGGUUGUUAACCAGAAGGUUAGUGGUUCAAGUCCACCCAGGGACA
This is a non-coding RNA of Podarcis lilfordi (Lilford's wall lizard), 73 nucleotides long. The record is from the annotation of a GenBank genome assembly. Lineage: Eukaryota; Metazoa; Chordata; Lepidosauria; Squamata; Lacertidae.